CGCUUUCCGGCCCGCGGCGACCCCCGGUAACCGUUGUGGCUGCCGCAUUGCUCCCGCCGGGCUGUAGCUGAGCGCGGAGCCCGUGGGGGCCGGUGAGUUUGAAUUCCUGAGCUCUAGUCGGUGAGAGACGUGAUGUUCUACCGGUUGCUGUCGAUUGUUGGAAGACAAAGAGCCAGCCCAGGAUGGCAGAACUGGUUCUCUGCAAGAAACAGCACAUCAGCUGCCGAGGCACGUUCCAUGGCCCUGCCCACCCAGGCACAGGUGGUCAUCUGUGGAGGUGGAAUCAUGGGCACAUCUGUGGCCUAUCACCUCUCCAAAAUGGGGUGGAAGGAUAUUGUCCUUUUGGAGCAGGGCAGGCUGGCUGCUGGCUCUACCAGGUUCUGUGCUGGCAUCCUGAGCACUGCCAGGCACUUGACCAUUGAGCAGAAGAUGGCAGACUACUCAAACAAACUCUACCAUCAGUUAGAGCAAGAAACAGGGAUCCAAACAGGUUACACAAGGACAGGCUCAAUCUUUCUGGCCCAAACUCAGGACCGACUGAUCUCCCUGAAGCGCAUCAAUGCAGGGCUGAAGUACGUAAGAGUCUAGAAGCGUGUCCUGACUUUACCACACUGGCCUCUGCCAAAGAGCCUGUGAAUGUCAUUGUCCCUUGUGUUCUGUGGCAGUGUUAUAGGUAUCCCUUCUGAGAUCAUCUCCCCCAAGAAAGUGGCCGAGCUUCACCAUCUCCUCAACGUGCACGACCUGGUGGGGGCCAUGCAUGUUCCUGAGGAUGCAGUGGUAUCUUCCGCUGACGUGGCUCUUGCCCUGGCAAGUGCUGCCUCCCAAAAUGGUGUUCAGAUCUAUGACCGGACAUCUGUUCUUCAUGUAAUGGUCAAAAAAGGUCAAGUUACUGGAGUGGAGACAGAUAAAGGACAGAUUGAAUGCCAGUAUUUUGUCAACUGUGCUGGCCAGCUAUUGUGGAUGCUGAUGGAAGAAUUUAUAUUCGGAACUGGCAGGGUGGCAUCUUGUCUGGGGGCUUUGAGAAGAACCCGAAACCAAUUUUCACUGAGGGCAAGAACCAGCUGGAGAUUCAGAAUCUACAGGAAGACUGGGAUCACUUUGAGCCUCUGUUGAGUUCCCUUCUGAGGAGGAUGCCAGAAUUAGAGACUCUGGAGAUCAUGAAGUUGGUGAACUGCCCAGAGACCUUCACACCAGACAUGAGGUGCAUCAUGGGCGAGUCUCCUGCAGUGCAGGGCUACUUUGUCCUGGCAGGAAUGAACUCUGCUGGCCUUUCAUUUGGUGGAGGAGCCGGAAAGUACCUCGCCGAAUGGAUGGUACAUGGUUAUCCCUCAGAAAACGUUUGGGAAUUGGACCUGAAACGUUUUGGAGCCCUCCAGAGCAGCCGCACCUUUCUGCGCCACCGGGUCAUGGAAGUCAUGCCUUUGAUGUAUGAUCUGAAGGUUCCCCGCUGGGACUUCCAGACUGGUAGGCAGUUACGCACCUCUCCUCUCUACGACCGGCUGGAUGCACAGGGAGCCAGGUGGAUGGAGAAACAUGGAUUUGAGAGGCCAAAGUACUUUGUUCCCCCUGACAAGGACCUCCUGGCAUUGGAGCAGAGCAAGACUUUCUAUAAGCCAGAUUGGUUUGACAUCGUGGAGUCUGAAGUCAAGUGCUGUAAGGAGGCUGUGUGUGUCAUUGACAUGUCCUCUUUCACAAAGUUUGAGCUAACAUCCACUGGGGAUCAGGCAUUAGAAGUUCUACAGUACCUCUUCUCCAAUGACCUGGAUGUGCCCGUGGGCCACAUUGUGCAUACCGGCAUGCUCAACGAGGGUGGAGGGUAUGAAAAUGACUGCAGCAUGGCACGACUGAACAAGCGCAGUUUCUUCAUGAUCUCUCCAACCGACCAGCAGGUCCACUGUUGGGCCUGGCUUAAGAAACACAGGCCGAGAGACAGCAGCCUGCUCCUGGAGGACGUCACCUGGAAGUACACAGCCCUCAAUUUGAUUGGCCCUCGAGCUGUGGAUGUGCUGUCUGAGUUGUCCUAUGCCCCUAUGACUCCAGACCACUUCCCAAGCCUCUUUUGCAAGGAGAUGAGCGUGGGCUAUGCAAAUGGGAUCCGGGUGAUGAGCAUGACGCACACAGGAGAGCCAGGAUUCAUGCUCUACAUCCCCAUAGAGGUGAGAGGGCACCCCUCCCUUCCC
RNAcentral lists this small RNA (2180 nucleotides) under Pongo abelii (Sumatran orangutan). RNAcentral's name for it is "retained intron". Lineage: Eukaryota; Metazoa; Chordata; Mammalia; Primates; Hominidae. The record is from RNAcentral.